UAAUCAAAUCACAUAGUUUUGUUUUAAAAAGUUGUCAACCAAACUCUAACUAUGAUUUUGAUUUUCAUUCCUGGUGUGUAAACUCAUGAACCAAAACACACCCUUAAUGUCUAUAUCAACAU
Long non-coding RNA from Ipomoea nil (Japanese morning glory), 122 nucleotides. RefSeq lists it as uncharacterized. The transcript is spliced from 3 exons. NCBI's taxonomy places the organism in Eukaryota, Viridiplantae, Streptophyta, Magnoliopsida, Solanales, Convolvulaceae. The record is from RefSeq and is a predicted model, not a curated record.